CAACCAGACCUUAUAAUUUACAUAACAUUUAUAAAUUCAAUUAAUGUAAUAAAUCGUAAAGUUC
RNAcentral lists this transfer RNA (64 nucleotides) under Neilupotamon xinganense. RNAcentral's name for it is "tRNA-Ile". The record is from RNAcentral. Lineage: Eukaryota; Metazoa; Arthropoda; Malacostraca; Decapoda; Potamidae.